GUUUUAAAUAGUUUAAAAAAAAACAUUAAUUUUGUAAAUUAAAAAUAAUUUUUAGUAAAAUUUUAAAAUA
Molecule: transfer RNA, 70 nt
Filed under: Elaphrothrips spiniceps
Lineage: Eukaryota; Metazoa; Arthropoda; Insecta; Thysanoptera; Phlaeothripidae
Description: tRNA-Thr
Source: RNAcentral